GGGGUUGUGGCUUAGUGGUAGAGCGCUUGCCUAGCAUGUGUGAGGCACUGGGUUCAAUUCUCAACACCA
RNAcentral lists this transfer RNA (69 nucleotides) under Ictidomys tridecemlineatus (thirteen-lined ground squirrel). RNAcentral's name for it is "Spermophilus tridecemlineatus (thirteen-lined ground squirrel) tRNA". It matches the Rfam family "tRNA". Rfam says of the family: Transfer RNA (tRNA) molecules are approximately 80 nucleotides in length. Their secondary structure includes four short double-helical elements and three loops (D, anti-codon, and T loops). The record is from Rfam by way of RNAcentral. RNAcentral also lists the same sequence under 1 other name. Lineage: Eukaryota; Metazoa; Chordata; Mammalia; Rodentia; Sciuridae.